GAGCGCAUAGCUCAGUGGUAGAGCACAUGCUUGGCACGCAUGAGGUCCUGGGUUCAAUCCCCAGUCCCUCCA
RNAcentral lists this transfer RNA (72 nucleotides) under Camelus bactrianus (Bactrian camel). It matches the Rfam family "tRNA". Rfam says of the family: Transfer RNA (tRNA) molecules are approximately 80 nucleotides in length. Their secondary structure includes four short double-helical elements and three loops (D, anti-codon, and T loops). Lineage: Eukaryota; Metazoa; Chordata; Mammalia; Artiodactyla; Camelidae. RNAcentral also lists the same sequence under 2 other names. The record is from Rfam by way of RNAcentral.